GAUGAACGCUGGCGGCGUGCCUAAUACAUGCAAGUCGAGCGAACAGACGAGGAGCUUGCUCCUCUGACGUUAGCGGCGGACGGGUGAGUAACACGUGGAUAACCUACCUAUAAGACUGGGAUAACUUCGGGAAACCGGAGCUAAUACCGGAUAAUAUAUUGAACCGCAUGGUUCAAUAGUGAAAGACGGUUUUGCUGUCACUUAUAGAUGGAUCCGCGCCGCAUUAGCUAGUUGGUAAGGUAACGGCUUACCAAGGCAACGAUGCGUAGCCGACCUGAGAGGGUGAACGGCCACACUGUAACUGAGACACGGUCCAGACUCCUACGGGAGGCAGCGGUAGGGAAUCUUCCGCAAUGGGCGAAAGCCUGACGGAGCAACGCCGCGUGAGUGAUGAAGGUCUUCGGAUCGUAAAACUCUGUUAUUAGGGAAGAACAAAUGUGUAAGUAACUAUGCACGUCUUGACGGUACCUAAUCAGAAAGCCACGGCUAACUACGUG
RNAcentral lists this ribosomal RNA (497 nucleotides) under uncultured bacterium. RNAcentral's name for it is "partial 16S ribosomal RNA". It matches the Rfam family "Bacterial small subunit ribosomal RNA", at positions 28 to 507 of the family's 1533-position model. The record is from RNAcentral.